GGGGGUAUAGCUCAGUGGCAGAGUGCGUGCUUAGCAUGCAUCAGGUCCUGGGUUCGAUCCCCAGUGCCUCCA
Molecule: transfer RNA, 72 nt
Filed under: Camelus bactrianus (Bactrian camel)
Lineage: Eukaryota; Metazoa; Chordata; Mammalia; Artiodactyla; Camelidae
Also listed under: 2 other names
Rfam family: tRNA
About the family: Transfer RNA (tRNA) molecules are approximately 80 nucleotides in length.
Source: Rfam by way of RNAcentral